AACGAACGCUGGCGGCAGGCUUAACACAUGCAAGUCGAACGCCCCGCAAGGGGAGUGGCAGACGGGUGAGUAACGCGUGGGAACAUACCCUUUUCUACGGAAUAGCUCUGGGAAACUGGAAUUAAUACCGUAUACGCCCUACGGGGGGAAGAUUUAUCGGGGAAGGAUUGGCCCGCGUUGGAUUAGCUAGUUGGUGGGGUAAAGGCCUACCAAGGCGACGAUCCAUAGCUGGUCUGAGAGGAUGAUCAGCCACAUUGGGACUGAGACACGGCCCAAACUCCUACGGGAGGCAGCAGUGGGGAAUAUUGGACAAUGGGCGCAAGCCUGAUCCAGCCAUGCCGCGUGAGUGAUGAAGGCCUUAGGGUUGUAAAGCUCUUUCACCGAUGAAGAUAAUGACGGUAGUCGGAGAAGAAGCCCCGGCUAACUUCGUG
Molecule: ribosomal RNA, 431 nt
Filed under: uncultured bacterium
Lineage: Bacteria
Description: partial 16S ribosomal RNA
Rfam family: Bacterial small subunit ribosomal RNA
Source: RNAcentral